This 253-nucleotide ribosomal RNA is filed under the name uncultured bacterium. RNAcentral describes it as "partial 16S ribosomal RNA". It matches the Rfam family "Bacterial small subunit ribosomal RNA", at positions 524 to 776 of the family's 1533-position model. The record is from RNAcentral.
UACGAAGGGGGCUAGCGUUGCUCGGAAUCACUGGGCGUAAAGCGCACGUAGGCGGCUUUUUAAGUCAGGGGUGAAAUCCUGGAGCUCAACUCCAGAACUGCCUUUGAUACUGAGAAGCUUGAGUCCGGGAGAGGUGAGUGGAACUGCGUGUGUAGAGGUGAAAUUCGUAGAUAUUCGCAAGAACACCAGUGGCGAAGGCGGCUCACUGGCCCGGUACUGACGCUGAGGUGCGAAAGCGUGGGGAGCAAACAGG